Molecule: long non-coding RNA, 271 nt
Organism: Saccostrea cuccullata (small rock oyster)
Lineage: Eukaryota; Metazoa; Mollusca; Bivalvia; Ostreida; Ostreidae
Exons: 3
Source: RefSeq, a predicted model, not a curated record
ACGCGACGCGGUAAGAGCAUGCAUCUUCUCGUGAAACACGUAGUCAUCUUUUGGCUGUUUGUAGAAGCCUCCUGUUGUAUCUUUGAUUAUCAAUGUUAUGGAGUGAUUGACUGUCCAAUUUAUCAGUGGCCAGCUUGCUUAUACGGACAAUGUACAUGCAAGGAAGGGUCUAGAUGCUUGUUUGACAAUGACUGCAAAUAUAAAUGCAGACGGAGCCAAACACCUGACUGUGCCUUGUUUGAAUGUUAUUGUCAUAAUUACAAAUAAAAAA